AGGCGGAUAGCUCAGUCGGUAGAGCACAGCUCUUACACAGCUGUUGUCGCGGGUUCGAUCCCCGCUCCGCCUA
Molecule: transfer RNA, 73 nt
Filed under: Leptospirillum ferrodiazotrophum
Lineage: Bacteria; Pseudomonadati; Nitrospirota; Nitrospiria; Nitrospirales; Nitrospiraceae
Rfam family: tRNA
About the family: Transfer RNA (tRNA) molecules are approximately 80 nucleotides in length. Their secondary structure includes four short double-helical elements and three loops (D, anti-codon, and T loops).
Source: Rfam by way of RNAcentral